AAAUUGAAGAGUUUGAUCAUGGCUCAGAUUGAACGCUGGCGGCAGGCCUAACACAUGCAAGUCGAGCGGUAGCACAGAAGAGCUUGCUCUUUGGGUGACGAGCGGCGGACGGGUGAGUAAUGUCUGGGAAACUGCCUGAUGGAGGGGGAUAACUACUGGAAACGGUAGCUAAUACCGCAUAACCUCGCAAGAGCAAAGAGGGGGACCUUCGGGCCUCUCGCCAUCAGAUGUGCCCAGAUGGGAUUAGCUAGUAGGUGAGGUAAUGGCUCACCUAGGCGACGAUCCCUAGCUGGUCUGAGAGGAUGACCAGCCACACUGGAACUGAGACACGGUCCAGACUCCUACGGGAGGCAGCAGUGGGGAAUAUUGCACAAUGGGCGCAAGCCUGAUGCAGCCAUGCCGCGUGUGUGAAGAAGGCCUUCGGGUUGUAAAGCACUUUCAGCGAGGAGGAAGGCGGUAAGGUUAAUAACCUUAUCGAUUGACGUUACUCGCAGAAGAAGCACCGGCUAACUCCGUGCCAGCAGCCGCGGUAAUACGGAGGGUGCAAGCGUUAAUCGGAAUGACUGGGCGUAAAGCGCACGCAGGCGGUCUGUUAAGUUGGAUGUGAAAUCCCCGGGCUUAACCUGGGAACUGCAUUCAAAACUGACAGGCUAGAGUCUUGUAGAGGGGGGUAGAAUUCCAGGUGUAGCGGUGAAAUGCGUAGAGAUCUGGAGGAAUACCGGUGGCGAAGGCGGCCCCCUGGACAAAGACUGACGCUCAGGUGCGAAAGCGUGGGGAGCAAACAGGAUUAGAUACCCUGGUAGUCCACGCUGUAAACGAUGUCGAUUUGGAGGUUGUGCCCUUGAGGCGUGGCUUCCGGAGCUAACGCGUUAAAUCGACCGCCUGGGGAGUACGGCCGCAAGGUUAAAACUCAAAUGAAUUGACGGGGGCCCGCACAAGCGGUGGAGCAUGUGGUUUAAUUCGAUGCAACGCGAAGAACCUUACCUACUCUUGACAUCCAGAGAAUUAGCUAGAGAUAGCUGAGUGCCUUCGGGAACUCUGAGACAGGUGCUGCAUGGCUGUCGUCAGCUCGUGUUGUGAAAUGUUGGGUUAAGUCCCGCAACGAGCGCAACCCUUAUCCUUUGUUGCCAGCGAUUCGGUCGGGAACUCAAAGGAGACUGCCGGUGAUAAACCGGAGGAAGGUGGGGAUGACGUCAAGUCAUCAUGGCCCUUACGAGUAGGGCUACACACGUGCUACAAUGGCGUAUACAAAGAGAAGCGACCUCGCGAGAGCAAGCGGACCUCAUAAAGUACGUCGUAGUCCGGAUUGGAGUCUGCAACUCGACUCCAUGAAGUCGGAAUCGCUAGUAAUCGUAGAUCAGAAUGCUACGGUGAAUACGUUCCCGGGCCUUGUACACACCGCCCGUCACACCAUGGGAGUGGGUUGCAAAAGAAGUAGGUAGCUUAACCUUCGGGAGGGCGCUUACCACUUUGUGAUUCAUGACUGGGGUGAAGUCGUAACAAGGUAACCGUAGGGGAACCUGCGGUUGGAUCACCUCCUUACCAAAAAGA
RNAcentral lists this ribosomal RNA (1551 nucleotides) under Pectobacterium versatile. RNAcentral's name for it is "bacterial SSU rRNA". It matches the Rfam family "Bacterial small subunit ribosomal RNA". Lineage: Bacteria; Pseudomonadati; Pseudomonadota; Gammaproteobacteria; Enterobacterales; Pectobacteriaceae. The record is from RNAcentral.